GAUGAACGCUGGCGGCGUGCUUAACACAUGCAAGUCGAACGGAAAGGCUCCUGCUUGCAGGGGUACUCGAGUGGCGAACGGGUGAGUAACACGUGGGUGAUCUGCCCUGCACUUCGGGAUAAGCCUGGGAAACUGGGUCUAAUACCGGAUAGGACGAUGGUUUGGAUGCCAUUGUGGAAAGUUUUUCGGUGUGGGAUGAGCUCGCGGCCUAUCAGCUUGUUGGUGGGGUAAUGGCCUACCAAGGCGUCGACGGGUAGCCGGCCUGAGAGGGUGUACGACCACAAUGAGACUAAGAUCCGGCCCAGAUUACUAAGGGAAGCAGCAGUGGCGAAUAAUGCACAAUAGGAGCAAGCCUGAGACAACGACGCCGGGUAGGGGAUGGCGGCCUUCGGGUUGGAAACUCCUUUUGAUAGGGACGAUGCGCACGUGACGAUACCUGGCGAAACAACACCGGCUAACUACGUG
RNAcentral lists this ribosomal RNA (465 nucleotides) under uncultured bacterium. RNAcentral's name for it is "partial 16S ribosomal RNA". It matches the Rfam family "Bacterial small subunit ribosomal RNA", at positions 28 to 507 of the family's 1533-position model. The record is from RNAcentral.